GUAACAUAAGUACAAGCCCACAAACGUGACGCCGGAGUUACCUAAAUGGUAGCAUAAGUAAAGCCCUCAAACGAGGCACCAAGUUAUUUAGAUAAUAACAUAAGCAAAGCCCUUAAACGAGGCACAAAGUUACCAAGAUAUUUAGAAGCAAAAUGAAGUUGAGUUACUUAUACAAUAACACAAACAAAGGAAGCAAUACUAACUACUUAAGUCGGCAACACCAAAUAAAAUCCUACUAAGUUGGCAGCAUAAAACAAAGCCACCUUAAGUCGAUAGUAAUCAGUAACACAAAACUUGCUCAAAUAAGUGGCAUCAGAUCCUUCGAAGUUAAUAAUUCAAAGCAC
RNAcentral lists this long non-coding RNA (344 nucleotides) under Vigna radiata. RNAcentral's name for it is "long non-coding RNA (VRAD_LNC012187)". Lineage: Eukaryota; Viridiplantae; Streptophyta; Magnoliopsida; Fabales; Fabaceae. The record is from RNAcentral.